GAAGUCGAGUUAUAGGGCUGGCACAGUGGGCUGGAAUUUAGUUGACUUUGGUUUUAGGUCAUCACUAAUCAUUCUUUUGAUUAUCCUUCUGAUUAUGACAUAAAGGUACCCGGGAAUACUUUUCAAGCACCGUAACUUGUUAAUUGGUUGUUGUUGAAUUCUUGUAAGGUUAAGCAGGU
Erigeron canadensis is the source of this 179-nucleotide long non-coding RNA. RefSeq lists it as uncharacterized. The transcript has 3 exons. The record is from RefSeq and is a predicted model, not a curated record. NCBI's taxonomy places the organism in Eukaryota, Viridiplantae, Streptophyta, Magnoliopsida, Asterales, Asteraceae.